This 465-nucleotide ribosomal RNA is filed under the name uncultured bacterium. RNAcentral's name for it is "partial 16S ribosomal RNA". It matches the Rfam family "Bacterial small subunit ribosomal RNA", at positions 28 to 507 of the family's 1533-position model. The record is from RNAcentral.
GACGAACGCUGGCGGCGUGCUUAACACAUGCAAGUCGUACGGUAAGGCCCUUUCGGGGGUCCACGAGUGGCGAACGGGUGAGUAACACGUGAGUAACCUGCCCACAACUUUGGGAUAACGCUAGGAAACUGGUGCUAAUACUGGAUAUGUGCUCCUGCUGCAUGGUGGGGGUUGGAAAGCUCCGGCGGUUGUGGAUGGACUCGCGGCCUAUCAGCUUGUUGGUGGGGUAGUGGCCUACCAAGGCGGCGACGGGUAGCCGGCCUGAGAGGGUGACCGGCCACAGUGGGACUGAGAUACGGCCCAGACUCCUACGGGAGGCAGCAGUGGGGAAUAUUGCACAAUGGGCGCAAGCCGGAUGCAGCAACGCCGCGGGCGGGAGGACGGCCUUCGGGUUGUAAACCGCUUUCAGCAGGGACGAAGCUUUUUGUGACGGUACCUGCAGAAGAAGCACCGGCUAACUACGUG